Neopsephotus bourkii (Bourke's parrot) is the source of this 558-nucleotide long non-coding RNA. RefSeq lists it as uncharacterized. The record is from RefSeq and is a predicted model, not a curated record. The transcript is spliced from 2 exons. Lineage: Eukaryota; Metazoa; Chordata; Aves; Psittaciformes; Psittacidae.
AUACAGAUAACAAAGUGUCAAAUCCUUUAAAGUAAUGCUUUCAGGUGCUUGUCUUUGAAUAGCUGUCCCAGUUUAGCUUCUGGCUGUCAGAACAAAGGGAGUAACCAAGCAGCUUGUUAGAGUCAAAACCCAGAGCAGAUUAAGCCUUCGCUCUGAGAAAUGUUUAGCUCCUUAUGAGGGAAACCCAGAACACAUGCUGGUAAAUACAAGGACUCUCUUUUUCUGUCAUUCUCAUGAGCAACAGAAAUCAUGGCCCCAGUGAAUCUUGCAGGAGACUGGCUUCAGUGACGCAAUUUUUGCCCUUUGGCUUGCCAGCUUACUCUACUAUUUUAGGCGUGGCUGGUUUAGAUCAGCCUUGGACAGGGUUAGGAGCACUGAUGGCAGCCCAUAGUUGGGUUCAGCAGGCUCUUGCCCUGGUAGGACCACCACUGGUGGUAGAGCACUUCUGGGGCUGCAUAUGAACAUCCUCUUCCUUGCCAUCCCUGGUGUGAAAAUGGAAGCUUCACCUGCUUCUCUCUCUCAUUUUACACUUGAAGCAAAAUAAAAACUGGAAAGUGG